UGUGAAGAAGGCCUUCGGGUUGUAAAGCACUUUCAGUCGUGAGGAAGGUGGUAGUGUUAAUAGCACUAUCAUUUGACGUUAGCGACAGAAGAAGCACCGGCUAACUCCGUGCCAGCAGCCGCGGUAAUACGGAGGGUGCGAGCGUUAAUCGGAAUUACUGGGCGUAAAGCGCAUGCAGGUGGUUUGUUAAGUCAGAUGUGAAAGCCCGGGGCUCAACCUCGGAAUUGCAUUUGAAACUGGCAGACUAGAGUACUGUAGAGGGGGGUAGAAUUUCAGGUGUA
Molecule: ribosomal RNA, 281 nt
Filed under: Vibrio parahaemolyticus
Lineage: Bacteria; Pseudomonadati; Pseudomonadota; Gammaproteobacteria; Vibrionales; Vibrionaceae
Description: partial 16S ribosomal RNA
Rfam family: Bacterial small subunit ribosomal RNA
Source: RNAcentral